CCUACGGGGGGCAGCAGUGAGGAAUAUUGGUCAAUGGCCGCAGGGCUGAACCAGCCAAGUCGCGUGAGGGAUGACGGUCCUAUGGAUUGUAAACCUCUUUUGUCAGGGAGCAAAGGGCGCCACGUGUGGCGUUUUGCGAGUACCUGAAGAAAAAGCAUCGGCUAACUCCGUGCCAGCAGCCGCGGUAAUACGGAGGAUGCGAGCGUUAUCCGGAUUUAUUGGGUUUAAAGGGUGCGCAGGCGGAAUGUCAAGUCAGCGGUAAAAUUUCGGGGCUCAACCCGUGAACUGCAUUUGAAACUGUUUCCCUUGAGUGUCGGAGAGGUAAUCGGAAUUCCUUGUGUAGCGGUGAAAUGCGUAGAUAUAAGGAAGAACACCAGUGGCGAAGGCGGAUUACUGGACGAUAACUGACGGUGAGGCGCGAAAGCGUGGGGAGCAAACAGGAUUAGAUACCCGUGUAGUC
This 460-nucleotide ribosomal RNA is filed under the name uncultured bacterium. RNAcentral describes it as "partial 16S ribosomal RNA". It matches the Rfam family "Bacterial small subunit ribosomal RNA", at positions 338 to 795 of the family's 1533-position model. The record is from RNAcentral.